GGUUAAGCGACUAAGCGUACACGGUGGAUGCCCUGGCAGUCAGAGGCGAUGAAGGACGUGCUAAUCUGCGAAAAGCGUCGGUAAGGUGAUAUGAACCGUUAUAACCGGCGAUGUCCGAAUGGGGAAACCCAGUGCAAUUCGUUGCACUAUCGUUAACUGAAUACAUAGGUUAACGAGGCGAACCGGGGGAACUGAAACAUCUAAGUACCCCGAGGAAAAGAAAUCAACCGAGAUUCCCCCAGUAGCGGCGAGCGAACGGGGAGCAGCCCAGAGUCUGAAUCAGCUUGUGUGUUAGUGGAACGGUCUGGAAAGUCCGACGGUACAGGGUGAUAGUCCCGUACACCAAAAUGCACAGGUUGUGAACUCGAAGAGUAGGGCGGGACACGUGGUAUCCUGUCUGAAUAUGGGGGGACCAUCCUCCAAGGCUAAAUACUCCUGACUGACCGAUAGUGAACCAGUACCGUGAGGGAAAGGCGAAAAGAACCCCGGCGAGGGGAGUGAAAAAGAACCUGAAACCGUGUACGUACAAGCAGUGGGAGCACCUUCGGGUGUGACUGCGUACCUUUUGUAUAAUGGGUCAGCGACUUAUAUUCUGUAGCAAGGUUAACCGUAUAGGGGAGCCGCAGGGAAACCGAGUCUUAACUGGGCGUUAAGUUGCAGGGUAUAGACCCGAAACCCGGUGAUCUAGCCAUGGGCAGGUUGAAGGUUGGGUAACACUAACUGGAGGACCGAACCGACUAAUGUUGAAAAAUUAGCGGAUGACUUGUGGCUGGGGGUGAAAGGCCAAUCAAACCGGGAGAUAGCUGGUUCUCCCCGAAAGCUAUUUAGGUAGCGCCUCGUGAAUUCAUCUUCGGGGGUAGAGCACUGUUUCGGCUAGGGGGUCAUCCCGACUUACCAACCCGAUGCAAACUACGAAUACCGAAGAAUGUUAUCACGGGAGACACACGGCGGGUGCUAACGUCCGUCGUGAAGAGGGAAACAACCCAGACCGCCAGCUAAGGUCCCAAAGUCAUGGUUAAGUGGGAAACGAUGUGGGAAGGCACAGACAGCCAGGAUGUUGGCUUAGAAGCAGCCAUCAUUUAAAGAAAGCGUAAUAGCUCACUGGUCGAGUCGGCCUGCGCGGAAGAUGUAACGGGGCUAAACCAUGCACCGAAGCUGCGGCAGCGACACUAUGUGUUGUUGGGUAGGGGAGCGUUCUGUAAGCCUGUGAAGGUGACCUGUGAGGGUUGCUGGAGGUAUCAGAAGUGCGAAUGCUGACAUAAGUAACGAUAAAGCGGGUGAAAAGCCCGCUCGCCGGAAGACCAAGGGUUCCUGUCCAACGUUAAUCGGGGCAGGGUGAGUCGACCCCUAAGGCGAGGCCGAAAGGCGUAGUCGAUGGGAAACAGGUUAAUAUUCCUGUACUUGGUGUUACUGCGAAGGGGGGACGGAGAAGGCUAUGUUAGCCGGGCGACGGUUGUCCCGGUUUAAGCAUGUAGGCUGGUUAUCCAGGCAAAUCCGGAUAAUCAAGGCUGAGGUGUGAUGACGAGGCACUACGGUGCUGAAGUAACAAAUGCCCUGCUUCCAGGAAAAGCCUCUAAGCAUCAGGUAACAUCAAAUCGUACCCCAAACCGACACAGGUGGUCAGGUAGAGAAUACCAAGGCGCUUGAGAGAACUCGGGUGAAGGAACUAGGCAAAAUGGUGCCGUAACUUCGGGAGAAGGCACGCUGGUGUGUAGGUGAAGUCCCUGCGGAUGGAGCUGAGACCAGUCGAAGAUACCAGCUGGCUGCAACUGUUUAUUAAAAACACAGCACUGUGCAAACACGAAAGUGGACGUAUACGGUGUGACGCCUGCCCGGUGCCGGAAGGUUAAUUGAUGGGGUUAUCCGUAAGGAGAAGCUCUUGAUCGAAGCCCCGGUAAACGGCGGCCGUAACUAUAACGGUCCUAAGGUAGCGAAAUUCCUUGUCGGGUAAGUUCCGACCUGCACGAAUGGCGUAAUGAUGGCCAGGCUGUCUCCACCCGAGACUCAGUGAAAUUGAACUCGCUGUGAAGAUGCAGUGUACCCGCGGCAAGACGGAAAGACCCCGUGAACCUUUACUAUAGCUUGACACUGAACAUUGAGCCUUGAUGUGUAGGAUAGGUGGGAGGCUUUGAAGCGUGGACGCCAGUCUGCGUGGAGCCAACCUUGAAAUACCACCCUUUAAUGUUUGAUGUUCUAACGUUGGCCCCUGACCGGGGUUGCGGACAGUGUCUGGUGGGUAGUUUGACUGGGGCGGUCUCCUCCCAAAGCGUAACGGAGGAGCACGAAGGUUAGCUAAUCCUGGUCGGACAUCAGGAGGUUAGUGCAAUGGCAUAAGCUAGCUUGACUGCGAGCGUGACGGCGCGAGCAGGUGCGAAAGCAGGUCAUAGUGAUCCGGUGGUUCUGAAUGGAAGGGCCAUCGCUCAACGGAUAAAAGGUACUCCGGGGAUAACAGGCUGAUACCGCCCAAGAGUUCAUAUCGACGGCGGUGUUUGGCACCUCGAUGUCGGCUCAUCACAUCCUGGGGCUGAAGUAGGUCCCAAGGGUAUGGCUGUUCGCCAUUUAAAGUGGUACGCGAGCUGGGUUUAGAACGUCGUGAGACAGUUCGGUCCCUAUCUGCCGUGGGCGCUGGAGAAUUGAGGGGGGCUGCUCCUAGUACGAGAGGACCGGAGUGGACGCAUCACUGGUGUUCGGGUUGUCAUGCCAAUGGCACUGCCCGGUAGCUAAAUGCGGAAGAGAUAAGUGCUGAAAGCAUCUAAGCACGAAACUUGCCCCGAGAUGAGUUCUCCCUGAGACUUUAAGUCUCCUGAAGGAACGUUAAAGACGAUGACGUUGAUAGGCCGGGUGUGUAAGCGCAGCGAUGCGUUGAGCUAACCGGUACUAAUGAACCGUGAGGCUUAACCUU
This 2902-nucleotide ribosomal RNA is filed under the name Klebsiella pneumoniae. Its description in RNAcentral is "23S ribosomal RNA". It matches the Rfam family "Bacterial large subunit ribosomal RNA". Lineage: Bacteria; Pseudomonadati; Pseudomonadota; Gammaproteobacteria; Enterobacterales; Enterobacteriaceae. The record is from RNAcentral.